GAUGAACGCUGGCGGCGUGCCUAAUACAUGCAAGUCGAGCGAACGGACGAGAAGCUUGCUUCUCUGAUGUUAGCGGCGGACGGGUGAGUAACACGUGGAUAACCUACCUAUAAGACUGGGAUAACUUCGGGAAACCGGAGCUAAUACCGGAUAAUAUGUUGAACCGCAUGGUUCAAAAGUGAAAGACGGUUUUGCUGUCACUUAUAGAUGGAUCCGCGCUGCAUUAGCUAGUUGGUAAGGUAACGGCUUACCAAGGCAACGAUGCAUAGCCGACCUGAGAGGGUGAUCGGCCACACUGGAACUGAGACACGGUCCAGACUCCUACGGGAGGCAGCAGUAGGGAAUCUUCCGCAAUGGGCGAAAGCCUGACGGAGCAACGCCGCGUGAGUGAUGAAGGUCUUCGGAUCGUAAAACUCUGUUAUUAGGGAAGAACAUAUGUGUAAGUAACUGUGCACGUCUUGACGGUACCUAAUCAGAAAGCCACGGCUAACUACGUG
Molecule: ribosomal RNA, 497 nt
Filed under: uncultured bacterium
Lineage: Bacteria
Description: partial 16S ribosomal RNA
Rfam family: Bacterial small subunit ribosomal RNA
Source: RNAcentral